Molecule: ribosomal RNA, 253 nt
Filed under: uncultured bacterium
Lineage: Bacteria
Description: partial 16S ribosomal RNA
Rfam family: Bacterial small subunit ribosomal RNA
Source: RNAcentral
UACGGAGGGGGCUAGCGUUAUUCGGAAUUACUGGGCGUAAAGCGUGCGCAGGCGGUGAUGUAAGACAGUUGUGAAAUCCCCGGGCUCAACCUGGGAAUUGCAUCUGUGACUGCAUCGCUAGAGUACGGUAGAGGGGGAUGGAAUUCCGCGUGUAGCAGUGAAAUGCGUAGAUAUGCGGAGGAACACCGAUGGCGAAGGCAAUCCCCUGGACCUGUACUGACGCUCAUGCACGAAAGCGUGGGGAGCAAACAGG